This 453-nucleotide ribosomal RNA is filed under the name uncultured Porphyromonadaceae bacterium. Its description in RNAcentral is "partial 16S ribosomal RNA". It matches the Rfam family "Bacterial small subunit ribosomal RNA", at positions 341 to 792 of the family's 1533-position model. The record is from RNAcentral. Lineage: Bacteria; Pseudomonadati; Bacteroidota; Bacteroidia; Bacteroidales; Porphyromonadaceae.
ACGGAAGGCAGCAGUGAGGAAUAUUGGUCAAUGGGCGGAAGCCUGAACCAGCCAAGUCGCGUGAAGGAUGAAGGUAUUAUGUAUUGUAAACUUCUUUAGCAGUGGAGUAAUAAGGGAGUCGUGACUCCUGACGCAAGUACACUGAAAAUAAGGAUCGGCUAACUCCGUGCCAGCAGCCGCGGUAAUACGGAGGAUCCGAGCGUUAUCCGGAUUUAUUGGGUUUAAAGGGUGCGCAGGCGGCCUUGUAAGUCAGCGGUUAAAUCGUGGAGCUCAACUCCAUCCCGCCGUUGAUACUGCAGGGCUUGAUUGCGGUCGAGGUUGGCGGAAUUCGUCGUGUAGCGGUGAAAUGCAUAGAUAUGACGAAGAACACCGAUUGCGUAGGCAGCUGACCAGGCCGUAAAUGACGCUCAUGCACGAAAGUGCGGGGAUCGAACAGGAUUAGAUACCCUGGUA